GUCAAGCUAAUGACGUUAAACAAGCGUUGUGGGGGAGGCAACCCAUGGUUUUUCUUUUCAUUUUACUUUUUUCGCAUUUAUUUACAUUUUUUUAUUUUAUCUUAUUUUGCAUUGAGACUAAAGUUUGAAUGGUUUGUAUUUUCAGGAUCACUUUCCUAACUUUUACAGGAUGCAGGGUUUUGAUGACAUGCAUGUCGCCUAUAGAGACAAUGCUCAGAGGGAGCGCUACAUUGCUUUAUACCAGCGCCCU
RNAcentral lists this long non-coding RNA (250 nucleotides) under Lathyrus oleraceus (garden pea). RNAcentral's name for it is "Pisum sativum (pea) long non-coding RNA (PSAT_LNC018453)". The record is from RNAcentral. Lineage: Eukaryota; Viridiplantae; Streptophyta; Magnoliopsida; Fabales; Fabaceae.